AUUGAACGCUGGCGGCAUGCCUUACACAUGCAAGUCGAACGGCAGCACGGGAGCUUGCUCCUGGUGGCGAGUGGCGAACGGGUGAGUAAUGCAUCGGAACGUGCCCUGAAGUGGGGGAUAACGUAGCGAAAGUUACGCUAAUACCGCAUAUUCUGUGAGCAGGAAAGCAGGGGAUCGCAAGACCUUGCGCUCUGGGAGCGGCCGAUGUCGGAUUAGCUAGUUGGUGGGGUAAAGGCCUACCAAGGCGACGAUCCGUAGCGGGUCUGAGAGGAUGAUCCGCCACACUGGGACUGAGACACGGCCCAGACUCCUACGGGAGGCAGCAGUGGGGAAUUUUGGACAAUGGGCGAAAGCCUGAUCCAGCCAUGCCGCGUGAGUGAAGAAGGCCUCGGUUGUAAAGCUCUUCGUGGGAGAAU
This 416-nucleotide ribosomal RNA is filed under the name uncultured bacterium. Its description in RNAcentral is "bacterial SSU rRNA". It matches the Rfam family "Bacterial small subunit ribosomal RNA", at positions 30 to 446 of the family's 1533-position model. The record is from RNAcentral.